GACGAACGCUGGCGGCAUGGCUAAUACAUGCAAGUCGAGCGAACAGAUGAAGUGCUUGCACUUCUGACGUUAGCGGCGAACGGGGGAGUAACACGUAAGGAAUCUACCUAUAAGGGGGGGAUAACAUUCGGAAACGCGGGGCAAUACCGCAUAAUAUCGUAUUCAGUACGGCAGACGAUUGAAAGACACCUCCGCUAUCACUUAUAGAUGACCUCGCGGUGCAUUAGUUAGUUGGUGGGGUAACGGCCUACCAAGACGAUGAUGCAUAGUCGACCUGAGAGGGUGAUCGGCCACAUUGGGACUGAGACACGGCCCAAACUCCUACGGGAGGCAUCAGUAGGGAAUCUUCCGCAAUGGGCGAAAGCCUGACGGAGCAAUGCCGCGUGAGUGAAGAAGGCCUUCGGGUCGUAAAACUCUGUUAUAAGAGAAGAACAAAUUGUAGAGUAACUGCUACAGUCUUGACGGUAUCUUAUCAGAAAGCCACGGCUAACUACGUGCCAGCAGCCGCGGUAA
This 513-nucleotide ribosomal RNA is filed under the name uncultured bacterium. Its description in RNAcentral is "partial 16S ribosomal RNA". It matches the Rfam family "Bacterial small subunit ribosomal RNA", at positions 28 to 523 of the family's 1533-position model. The record is from RNAcentral.